Molecule: long non-coding RNA, 40088 nt
Filed under: Eutrema salsugineum
Lineage: Eukaryota; Viridiplantae; Streptophyta; Magnoliopsida; Brassicales; Brassicaceae
Description: long non-coding RNA (ESAL_LNC000743)
Source: RNAcentral
AUUCACUUGCCCUCACGAUCUCAUCCUUUGAAAAUUCCUUGAAACUUUUCAUCUUGUGAGAAUGGCACCAAAGGGAGAGAAGAAGCCGGCCGAGAAGAAACCAGUGGAGGAGAAAUCAAAGGCCGAGAAGGCUCCGGCGGAGAAGAAACCUAAGGCCGGGAAGAAGCUGCCGAAGGAAGCCGGCGGCGCAGGCGGCGAUAAGAAGAAGAAGAUGAAGAAGAAGAGCGUCGAGACGUACAAGAUCUACAUCUUCAAGGUCCUUAAGCAGGUUCAUCCAGAUAUCGGAAUCUCGAGCAAAGCCAUGGGGAUUAUGAACAGCUUCAUCAAUGAUAUCUUCGAGAAACUCGCUCAAGAAUCGUCUAAGCUCGCUAGGUACAAUAAGAAGCCUACGAUCACUUCUCGGGAGAUUCAGACUGCUGUUAGGCUUGUGCUUCCUGGUGAGCUCGCGAAACACGCCGUCUCCGAGGGAACCAAAGCCGUCACGAAAUUCACCAGUUCGUGAAAUUGCGUCUCGUGAUUCGAGAAUUUGGGGAAGGAUUUGUACAAUUAGGGUUUAUGAAUGUUAAGAGUUUCUAGAUUUCGAUUUCUGUUUCGUCUUUCGUAUUUCGAUGUAAUCAAUCAAAUCCAAUCUCUCUACGAAAUCAGUUGAUUUAUAUCUUUGCUUUUAUUCCUCCCCUACAAGUGAAUCGAUUUAUCGAAUUCGUUUCUUGCGAAUCUGGGUGUUACUUUGAAAACGUCGUCGUUUCGCUAGAGCAUUUAACCUAGAAAUGUUUCGCACUUGGCCUUUUUCUGAAUCAGUUUGUCUUAUUGUUAAAGAUGGCUAAGAGAUUCGCAACUCAACUCUUCGUAAGCAGUAAGAUAACGGUUUCUGAAUUAUCACCGAUUAGAUUAAUCCUCCGUUUACAUUCUCUGGUUUUCAGAUUUUUCUCUUGUGCAGGGUUAUCUGCUUACACCACAGAUCGAUCUCUGAGGCAGCUUUUUUCUCCUUUUGGUCAGAUUAAAGACGGUACAAACAAGAAACUCGCAUAUGUCUUUGAGGCUCGAUUAGGUUUAUGUUUUGUUCCCUAAUUUUGAGUUGUGGUUUUUAUUUAGCUCGGCUUAUUAGGGACCCAGAAACGCAGAGACCCAAAGGUUUCGGCUUCGUCACUUUUGAGUCUGAGGAUGAUGCCCAAAAGGCAUUGAAAAGCUUGGAUGGGAGGGUAAGGAAAAAUAUAAUUUUUUUUAAUUUCUCCAUCAAUAACUUGCCAGUUUCUUCGUACUUAGAUAUUAACUUCAAUACGUUUCUGGGUUUGUACUAAUCAAUUGCUUGAUAAUGCCUCCUUGUUCUCCAGAUGUUCCUUGGCACAUUAUUGUCCUAAACAAAGCUACUUUAGACCCUUUUGUGAUAAGUUUUUUAGGUGUCUAGAUCCAAGUUGUGUAAGAUCAUAUUGCCGAUUAGGGUGUGAAGCUUUAUCGAUUUUGGUUUCGUUCAUUGUGACUUAACUUCUUGAGAAGUUCACUGAAGUUGGAUUUGGUUCUUUUUGUAUGGUUUGCUGGUUUCAGAUUGUAGAUGGUAGACUAAUAUUUGUUGAAGUUGCCAAGAACGCAGAGGAAGCGACAACGGAUAUGAACAAGGACGACGACUAAUUUAGGCCCCGACACUUGAUGUAAUCAUGUAGACUUCUUUACAGUGUCGUAAUCAUGUAGACUUCUUUACAGAAUGUAUCAGAGAUGAUGAUCAGUUCCAUGUUUACAGCUCCAAAAGCUUGGAUGCAAUUCGUGAUAAAUGAUUGUUAGUCUUUUGUUUGUAGAAGAACAUCCGUUUCACUAUUGGACCGAUCUGGGCCUAUGAAUAUUGGGCCUGGUUGGGCGUCAACUUUUAAAAGUGGUUAGGCUACGAUCACAGUCUGGUAGGAAACCUGUCGCACAAAGCAAAACGUCAGCGUCCAUGUUUUUAUAAAUAUACCCUAAAUUUUCACGUGGCAAUCUUUGAUUGGAAUUAACCAGCUCCUCACCGCUAUAAUGAAAGCUGAGCGGAAAGUGGAGCCAACCGAAAGAGCCAUUAGAGUCAUGGACCUUUUAAUUUGAAUUUCGAUUUUUUUCAAAAGGUGCAAAAUAUUCGAUGCCAAUAAAAUAUAGAAUAAAUUACACUAAAAGGUACAUUAUAACUUUCCCAUAACACUAAAAGGUACUUCCAAUUAUUACUUCCAAUUAUUAGGAUAUUUUUAUCAGGUGAGAUGACAUUUAUGUCUUUAUUGUAACUUAUACUUGCUUUUAAGUUAUUUACUUUAGUCAUUUUACCCAUGCGGUAAAACAUCAUUUUUCCAACAUUUCACUAUCUCGGCGAGUUUCUCUGAUAUUCACCGGCUUUAACCCUAAAAACGCCCUUCUACUUCUUCUCUGAAAUCCAUUUCGCGUUUGUCUCUUCAAAUCGUUUCUCUCCUAAAGCCUAACUCGGCUUAAUCGCCUGUGUCUUCCAGCACGAGGCUGUCGAAUUCGUGUUUUCUCGGUUUAUUUUGUUUUUCGCUUCCAGUUUCCGCUGUUAUUCGACAUGUCAGGUUUGUUCUCCAUCCAAGUUUAUGUUUUUUUUGUCUGAACUCUGAAUUAUUUCACGAAUUACUGUCUUAUCGGAGUUUUUUUCAAUAUUUUUUGUUUUCCAGACGAGGUUCAUGCUUCUGGGUCCGACAACCGAUUGCCCGAGCGGUUGUUUGCGACGGACCGAUUUCCUAUCAACCGUAUCAACGUCUACUCGAAGCCCGACACACUUACAUUUCUUCAUGAUGUGCUUCGUGAUACACCAGAGUUUGAGACAAUUUUGAACUCGCCGUUCGGCCGUUUAUUUGACAUUCCAGCAGCUAGUGCACCGAUCUCAUGUAAGCUCAUCCACUCUCUCUUAACCAUACAGGUUGUCACUAAAAAACAAUACGAGAUCUGGAUAGUGUUUGGUGGACAACCUUUUCGAUUUUGUUUGCCCGAAUUUGGUCAAGUAACCGGGUUGUCCUGUGGCGAGUUCCCUGACGACUAUGCACCAGACUUUCAGCCACCGAAUGAAGUUGUACCAGAUCCAUACUGGCGAGAGCUAAUCGGCAACGACCCCAAAACAACCUUGGCUGACAUCGGAUAUAUGCUUAGAACGGAUAAGGAUAUGCCAAGUAGCAGGAGACUUCGGUUAGCCUUGCUUAUGAUUGUUGAUGGUGUACUAGUUGCUAACACACAGGUUCACAAACCCACUCCCCGAUAUGUUCGGAUGCUGGAGGACCUCGAUGGAUUUCUCACUUUCCCUUGGGGAAGAGAAUCCUUCCUAAAAACUAUUGCAUGUAUGCGGCCUUCCAGGAAAGUCCCAGGAAAAGUAGAUAACCCUGUAGGAGAAUUCCGGCAAUUGCUUCUCCAAUUCACUUUCCGUAUGCAAGGUUUCCCCCUAGCUUUACAACUUGUUGCAUUCCAAGCCAUCCCAGCGCUACACUUAAAGUUACCCAAAGACUCUGCAUAUUUCACAUUACUGGAUUGGGAUGGUAUUAAACUUCGCAAGAACGACUCUCUCUCCAUCCGCGACGUGCUCGACGUCGAGUUUGGUGACAAUGUAAGUUCUUAUACUACUUGGUUCUGCAAUAAAACAUGAAAAACAUUUUGUUUAGAGAUUACUCAUUCUACUUUUUUAUGUUUUCUUUUUUAUUCAGUUACUGGUGCAUCCACUUAUCGAGGUCCAGGUUCCUGAUGUCAUUGGAUGGGGUGAAUGGGAUGAUGAGAUACGAGACAGGAAAGUUACAUACUUAGAGGACCUAGUCCGUGAAGGUCAUUCAUUUUCCAAGUCGGAAUGGCCUGGUGGAGAUGCUUCGCUGCCUCUGUAGACUCAUGUCCCAAUCCCUGCACAACGCGUACACCGAAGGCACAUUGUAGAUCAGAAGAAAAAUCUAUCUCAACCACACACCCCGUUGAAGCUACGAACAAAGAAAAAAAAAUGAAACAUGUCAGUCGUCGGAAGCAGAAAAUAAUGGACGACUAUCUACUGCCAAAUGAUGCGGAGUCUCAAAACCAGAACGUGUGGUUGCUAUCUGAGGUGAAACAUCUUUGUAAACGUGUCCAAAAAUUAGAAGACAAGCUUAAAUUCUGCAAGUUUACACGAUUUGGUAAACUGUCUUCCCAGCGUCUCACAGCUACCAGACACAAGAGCAAACGUCAGACAAAGACUGACGAUGCAAGACAUCCACCUUCUCCUGUCCAUUACUCUUCUAAUAUUAUCCGACUCACUGAUGACAAUUACACACCUGGAAAUAGUGAAGCCAGCCAAGAAGUAGUAUCACCUGAUCGAGCCAGAGAAGAAGUUCAAUCACCUUUACUUGAUAGAAAUCAUGAUCCAGGUUUUAUCGCCGUAAGUAUUCUACAAUCUAAUCAACACAUUCCCUUUACCAUUAUACUUACUAAAAAAAUCUCGCUUAUAGGAAGCACAGGCGGAGGACUGCCUUACAGAACCACAAGUGGGUACCAAAAAACAAUUACCAGUCCAGGACUGUCUCAUGGAUGACUGCCCAAAAGAACAGCUACUAGAUGAGUCGGUUGAUUUGGUCGCCGGAAAUCAACAGAAUUCAAUUGUUAAUGAAAUGGGUAAACUAGUAACUUCUAUCAAGCAAAAUUCACUUCUUUUCUGGGCACACUUGAUAAAUCUAUAUUUGCUUCCUAUAUUACAAAGGUCAUCCAUCAGGGUAAUCUUCUUCCAAGCUCGGCAAUACCAUUUCUGACUCCAUUCGGCCCUUUCCAAAACAACACUGUAAGAAUCACUUACAACCAGUUAGUAGCACUAAUGUUUUAUCCACAAGACAACAUCCACACGUCCACAUGACUAAUCACGUUUUUAUGCGCUAGUCUCAGCCAGACAUGGAAUUCGCAGAUGGCUGCAUUUCACAUGUGCUCGAGGCACUUAACAACAACGAAGAACUUCACGACAAUGACAAACCAUCAACAAAGGUAAAUUCUACAUAUAAAUAUCCUUUUCAGUGCUUAAGGUCGGCCUUAAUAUUGUCUCAAAUAAACCAAUCAACACACCAACGCCUGAUGAACACUCGAGUUUUCUUCCACAGGAUUCGAAGGACACGGCGCUGACAACCACGAGGGCAACUACAGCACAAUCCAGACAUCUCCCAUUUUUGAAUGGAAACCACACAAAGCCAACGAUGGUCAGGAAAACAUGCAUAUCGACAAAAAUGAGCCCGAAGAACCCAUCUCCUCACUCGCUGAAAACAAUGUCGUCCUGCAAGUGGAUAACAGUGGCCAAGUUCACGAAACUCAGCCCAUUGUAACUCCUUCAGUGUUGCAGGUGUAUCAUGUCCCCGACGUACUCAAACCCCUGGAUAAGUAUAUGCAUGUCGUGACGGAUUCGACGUGCAGUGGACAACUAAUGGUGGACGAAUCAUCAAUACAUAACUCCAAGAUAUCACGUUACCAAAGUGGACACGAGAAAUUGGACAUGAUACCAGAUGGACACGAAGAUGUGGACAUGAUAACUCGAUUGCAACUAGUUAUACCAUGCUCAGACCUGGUAAACUCUCCAAAACAACACGGUUUGCAUCCAUGUGGACAGCCUGAGGCGGACGUCGACUCUGCUGAUACCAUCAGCACCUCAAGAAAACUCACUGUACUCGAUGAAGUAGAUCCGGGAACUAAAAGUGAAGAUGUACACGCAGAAGUGGAAAACGAAGCAGAGGAAAGUGAAGCAAAUUAUAACCAGGUAACUGUGCUUCACCAAAACGUCGCAAACGAUGUUCAUACCAAUUUCUGACACAACCUUCUAAAUUCUGUAAAACGUAGGUUCAGGUGGACGGUGAGGUGCUGGACGUAAGUGAUUCUUCCCCACCCCCACAGAGAGUUCAGUAUUCGCCGUCGUCCGAGGAGCAACGGUUAGCGGUUGCUUUUAGGGAAAAACAGAGCCCACCGUCAACCCUACUGCUCCAACAUGUUGACGAACAAGAGUUCAAGUUCUUUCACGACACCUUGACCUCCUCUAUUCACGUGUACGUGCCUACCUACUUCCCAUAUAUUUAGCUGAACCAUAAAUCACAUUACCCGUGAAGGAGUUCAUUUUAUUCUUGUUGCAGAAAACACACCACUGCUGAUAACUUUACCUUCGACAAUGAGUUUAUUCUACACCUAGCUACCCCUCAGAAAUGGAUCUCAACACUGGUACCUAUACUACUUCCUAUUUCCUUCGGUUAUUACUACAUCCUAUGCUCACUUAUCCGUUUUUUCCUUAACAGCACAUGGAGGUUCUUAUGUCCUUCCUAGGAUCACGUCAUACACACAUUCUACAAGCAGAACAAGCAUGCUUUGCGUCUCCAUGGUUAAUCAAUCAUCUUCAAGGGAAGUAUCGUUCUUGGAAAGCCGCUAGAAACAAGUCAAAAUUUAGAUGGGAUGACCAUCUCGCAGCUUUUGUCAAGGCUGAUGGUCAAACAUGGCUGACCGACGUCGAUACAGUGUACGCACCCAUGGCUGGGACAAUCAGCAUUGGGUUGGACUUGCGAUAAACCUUCGAGGCUGGUUCAUCGAGGUACUUGAUCCACUCCCUUCUCUAAAUCCGAACGUAAAGUGGAGAAAUACCUCCAACCUGUUUUGGAACUACUCCCGCAUAUCAUUCAGACCAUGUGUCCGAACGAAGCCCCCACCGAAUACUUAGGACACCCAUUUCGUUUCACUAGAGCGUCUGGGAUUUAUGAGAACCACAGAGGUGGAGACUGUGGCCCUGUCACACUUAAGUUCCUCGAGCUUCACGCUCAUGGUGAUACCGGUAUGAUAGCUAUGUGCGAUGCAACGGUCGAUCAAUUCAGGAAACAAUACGCCAUGGAUGUCUACAAGUACUUAGUUGUUCCUAUCUACUUCCCCCAACCCUCUCAAUGAACACCAAAUCCCGUAUUAAAAAUGUACCCACAUAUGGAUGGAUGUUUUCCUUAUCUUCGAGUAGCUACUUUUAAGUUUCUUCCACAUUAGACAGUACUUUUGUAAGGGCAUGUUCGCAGUAAGGUUGCUAACUUUUUUUAACGCUUUUGGUUGAUCCUUUAAUGGGUCACCCCGCUACUUCAGUUUUACGCAUCUAAUCCACUUUUUUACAUCCACUAUAUAUGUUGUUUAUGUACACCGGUAAAUCCACGUUCGCAACGUUCUCACGUUUUUGUGAAUUGCUUUAAUAGUUUUCGAUCCCGAAAGCCACAUCCACCAAAUAUGUCCAUACGAUUUCAUCCACCUACCCACUUAUGUUUGUUGCUUUAAUGGUUGACCCACAUACGUCAGUUCUACGCAUCUCAUCCAUUGUUACGUCCACUAUAUUAGUUGUAUAGGCACACCGGACAUUCCACGCUUGCAACGUUCUCAUGUUUUCGUAGAUUCCUUUCAUAGUUUUCAAACCCGAAAUCUUCAUCCCCCAUAUACAUCCAUUUCAUUCCAUCCACGUACCCAUAUCCACUACAUACUAUGAUCAUAUCUCCAAAUUGCUUUACCCUAUCAUAUGCUACUCUACGGUGGAGAAAUUCGAAACAUUUGAAACAUUUGAAACAUUUGACACUACAACUACCUCCAAAACAAACAUCAGAAACACAAUAACCGACUACCAAAUAACAGUUGAAACUACUUCCAUAACUACAACAACCUACUUAGAUUUAUAGAUCACAAACAGCAUCAUCACAAAUGAGACAAUAAUCAACACUUGUACAAGCCCUAUGUCAGGAUCGGCCCUCACAAUCGUAGUCUCACUUCGCGGAAUCUCAAGCUUUAGGACGACUGACUUCAGCUCAUUGUAGUCGUCAUGACACCCACAAAGUUGUUCAUUAAGCUCCUUUAUCAGCACCCUCAGCUCCGCAACAUCAUCACGAAGAACAUCCACAUUUCGCCAAAUUGUGGGUGGAUCAACUAGUUCUCCACUAGCUCCGCUCAACAAGUACUUCAUCCUAUCAUCUUGGUAUCCCAACUUCACCUUCUGCUCUGCCAACUCCUCUGUAACAGCUACAUCCCACCAUUUUUGGUACUUGCAUCCUCCCUCCUAAUCCAUUACAUUCACAUCAACAGUUAUAAAACUGUGUACUUUCCGAUUUAAAUUGCGGGAUUACAGACUACAUACCUCUCUCAUUCCACAUCUGUAAUAACGGCGACCUCUGUUGUCCACCUGAUGAGAUAUGUCUAUCAAGACGGACUUUCCACAGUAACAUUUUUUUGGAAUCCCCUCAUCGUACAAUCCCUCGUAGUAUCCAUAAUCUUCAAGACUACCUCUAGACGAAGAACUGUUGCUGUAGCUGAUCGGCAUUUUCCUGCGAUGGUUAAUCAGGCGUAAAUCAUCUACAUCCCCGAUUUCCAAAGUAUCAAAAAAACAUAGAAAAACCAGCUACAAAAUGGAUAAUCAUUUAGACCCACCUCGUCCCCUCGAAAAUACAACGUUCUCUCACCGCCCCCAAAUACUACAACAGAUAUUUAUACGGAACCUUCAAAGCUCAAACCUAAUUUGAGGGUAUUUUAGUCAUUUACAACACCCACACCCCCUAAUUAACAUCCAGCUGUGAUAAUCCAUGUUAAGUGUGUCCACUCAUAACUGUCCCGUAUAUUGAGUUAAAAACAUUAUUUUUUGCUUCUCGAUCUACACGAUCAACACUUACAACCAAGGACUGUUGCUGUACACACCUCAUCACAAAAAAGGCCAAAAAAACAUGCCUACAAACAUGGUUGUCUUAGAUUAUCUCCAACGAUCCAUUAACACUCACAUACGUACGCAAGGUAUAAUCCACCUACAUAUCGUAUUUGCAAAUGCUUUAUAUAGGAUCACAGGACUUCCAACAAUGAGAUAACUAUCAACAAUGAGAUAAAUUUCAACAAUAAUGAAACAAAUACGAUUAACGACAUUAGAGUAAAAACAGCUUAAUCAAUAGUCUGUCUGAUGACUAGACAACUAAUCCAAUGUCAGCCGAAUUAAAUCGCCCAAAAAAUCCAGGAAAACAUCACCAAAGUAAUCACCGCGGAAAUUUAAAGUAGUAUCCAAAGUUCCAUACACCCUCCACACGCACAAUGAAAAAUUGAUAAGACGUGGUGGAUAACAAAACCAAAACAAUCACAAUCCGGGUAUCGCAGUAAACGUGUCAUGGAUCCAAAACGGAUUGGUCUGAAACUCCAUCUAUAUCGGAUUGGCGCAGCUGCUUCGAUUGUGUCCAGACAUUCUACAGCGUCCACACUUGUUCGGCACAUAUUUUUUCACACCAGUUCCCUGCAGAUGUUACUACCGUUAAUAUUAUUUCCUGUCACUGCAAUAAAGUUACCAACUAAUUAACUUUACCUUUAUCACCCCGGUUGAUGGUAUCCGCAACUCCUUAGGACGGCCUGAAGGCCUUCUUGUUUUCGGUGGGAAUAGAAUAGAACUACUCACUUCCACUGGUAUCUCAACCUCAUUCGGGUCGGCCUCAGGAUUAAUCACACCUUGAUAUGUUUCCCUCCAUGUACUCGUCUUGUAACAAUCACCAACUAAACUCGCAUAAGGAAGACCAACAGAAUCCGCAGCAAUAAGAGCAUGGCCACAAGGAAUUUUAAGCUUCUGAUAAGCCUGACAAGUACAUUUGCGGUCAUUUAAAAUUACAUUGUGCUUUCCUCCGAAACGAUUAAUAAUCUGUACACUCCAGCUAGAAACGCUAUUGAUUUUGCUUUCUUUUGUGACCUCCAUGUACUUAGUCAUAACUUUGUCCACCUCCGGGGUCACAAUCCCGCGAUACCUAGCAGAUUUUUUACGACGAGCAGCAAACCAUCGAGUCAUCAUACUCUGGAUAAAAGUCAAGAGCUCUAUGAUGGGGGAGUUCCUCCCUUCCCUCAAUGCUUUGUUCAGCGUUUCUGCUAUGUUGUUAGUCACCAGGUUAUAACGAUCCCCUGGGAAAUACGCUCGAGACCAAGUAGCUGUACCCAUUUUCUCUAAAUAACUAGCACAAUCACCAUUCAUAGAUCUGACUUUACCGAAGAGCUUCCUGAAAUCAGGAAUUGAAAAUGCAAAAGCAGCAACUCCUACCAUUUUCGACAGUCCUUUAUUCUUAUACCUUGAAGUGACAUUCCUCUGAACAUGAACAAUACAAGCUCCAUGACUUGCCUUAGGAUACACCAACUUUUUCGCCGCCUUUAUAGAAUUGUGUCUAUCCGAAAUGAUUGUCAACCGAUUGCUGUCAGCAAGUAACCUCUCCAAACACCGAAGGAACCAUGUCCAUGAUACAUCAUUCUCACUAUCCACUACAGCAAACGCUAGUGGAAACACUUGGAAGUUAGCAUCCUGUCCACUAGCCGUUAGCAACACACCCUUGUACUUCCCACCCAGAUGAGUUCCAUCCAAGACAAUUAGAUGCCUUAGUCUUCUAAAUCCAGCCAGAGAUGCACCGAACAAGAGAAACACAUACUUAAAUCUCUCAAACCCAUUUUCAUCUGUUUCUGUCUUCAAUUCUGUAACUGUUCCAGGAUUUGCAUAUUUCAACAUGUAUAGAUACUCAGGCAGUUUACUGUAUGACUCGUCGUGUCCACCUCUAACUCCCAAAAGAGCACUCUCUUUCGCCCUAUAGCACUUCAUAUAAGAAGCAUUCACACAGAGAUCUUCGAGCACAAGUCGCUGCAGCUCCCUUGUUUUAGGACCAUUAACUGGGUCACCAAACUUCGAUUUGUAGACGGCAGCGAUAACACGCGCAGAUGCUCUUUUCUUGAACGCCUUUCUGGUCUCGAUAUCGCAACUGUGUUCAAGCUGUGCCUUUCUUAUUUCGUAAUAAGAACUAUCUUUUAUUUCCUUUGCAAGAACUCGCCAGACACAACGGGGGUCGACACAACUUAAAACAAAACGGUUCCUCUUGGUUAAUGUCUGCUUGAACUGAAACAUCUCCUUAAUUGCAUAGACUGCUAGCGCAAUCUGACAAUCCUCUUUCGAAGGAUAAACCUUACCAACUCUGACGCAAUCCUCCCCGUCCACAAGGUCUAAGUCUAAAAUAUCUGCAGUCUCGUACUGGGUGUCAUCGAACAAUGGCGGGAUAUCAAAGUCCUCAUUGUCCACACUCCUGAGAUCACGUGGACUGGGGGUACGAGGAACCGUCCCGUCCAUUCCCAUCCAUCCACUACUUUCAUGCUUUGAGAAUCCACCAGAUGGUGGUGUACCCACAUACACAUCGUGGUCAAAGGCAUCAUUGGUUCUACACCUGUAAACUUCUCCCUCAUGUAAAUUACUCCACUUCUUGUCGGCUGUAUCUACAGGGUCGCACAUAACCUCCACAACAUUGGACCCAGCAAAUUGUUCAUCUAGGAAUGGUUCCCAAAAUUCCUUAUCGAACUCAUGAGACAUACAAUCGAAAUUUACUUCAUCUCCAAUGUCACUUACAUCAUCAUCAUCACUGUUUGAGUUAACUGCACCAUCAGCGUCUACUUGCCCAGUACCCUUGUUUUAACAAUUUCCAUGACCAGCGCUAAAAAAUUCUUCUACCAUCACGGCGUGUUGUACUAGCUCUUCGUCCAUGCUGUUAUCCAUAUCAGAUAUUGGUCCUUCGACAGACCUGUUAAUAGGUUUCUUAGCUUUAAAGCUAUCUUCAUCGCUAACCAAAUCCCUCUUCCUAGACGUCAGUGGAUACUCUUCAAAAGUUUUCCCAGUCUCUACUGUCGUCUUAGGCGUCGAGAAGCAGCAACCUGUACUAUCUUCGGACAUUGAAGACAUUCGCGGGAUGUUAGCCAAAUUUGGAAUCCCAUCCACACUCCCACUGCCAAGAGAAGAAUGGCUACUUGUUUUAAACCCACUCUCCAUGCUCUCAUCAGCUUCAUUUCCCUGGAAAAACCCAAGCUUUUUACCAAAACCAGUUAUUUCACAACCUACUGAUUUACGCAUCCUCGUUGGAACUGGUUCUUUAUACAUUGCAUUACCAUUAUUUGCUAGUGGUGUUUUAAACGUAAAACCACCAAUAUCGACAUCCCCCGGCCCCUUUCUCGUAGGAAAUGGGGUUUUAUACCCAGAAAGGUCACCCGAGGACUCACUGCCUCAGCUUCUCCCUCUAACAGUGUUCUGAACAGCACUGCCACCACCCUCAAACCCGUUUUUACCAAUCGAUACCUCAUCGCCCUCAAACCUCGCGAAUAGGUUUACACUACUCUGAACCUUGAAGUGUUUUAAGAAAUAACCUAUAAAACACUCGUUUGUAACCAUAACCGGGGGAGUAGAUAUUCCAGUUGCUAAUUAUGUGCUAUUAGGAGGCCAGUAGCUUAAUGUUACACCAACAUCGAAAAAAACAUUCAAAACACUUUUUUUAACUCCGAUAUAGUAACGCCUGACCUAAGAGAUACUACUCUAGACAUCUUCAUCUUGUCCACAACGAAAUCCCAAAGUCCCUCUCUUGAACGAAUCCACUCACCACAUAUUACAAGACAAUGUUCUUCCAUGACUACACGAGAGAAGCAAAAAAAAAAGUUUUAGUUGAUGUCCACGGCCUAAACAUCCACCAUUACAACUGAAAAUAGUAAGAAGGCACACCUUUGCAAACUUUUUCCGCCAGCACCGAACGUGUCUGCUGGAAUGGAACAGGUUAACCUAAUAUUACUCGGUUCCCAAAACAGACGGAAUUGACGUUUAUCUGCCACUGCAACCCCAGCCGUUCGAUUAUAAACAUUAAAUGUGAAUCCGACGGUAAGGAUUUGUACAAGGUAGAUUAAAAGCGGGCCCGAAAAAUUUCAACUUCAAGGCGGGAAAUGACCAAACAACUAUACAUCCAAAUAGUCGAUUACAUUUCAUCCAACAACUUACAUAGUACAAACUGCAUCCACCGAACAUUGUCAUCCACCUAACAUUGUCAUCCACCGAACAUUGUUCUCAUUCUUUUCGAUUUUGUGAGACAGUUAACUUAAAUUCACCCAAACCCAUCCACCAUAAUAUGUCCUGCGCAUUUAUCCACUACGAUACAUUUUCAUCGCACACGCUAUGGUGAUGAAAUGCUUCACCAGUGUGUUUAUCAGUAUACGCAUCUGUACGGAUUUUAAAACGAACGACGAUACCAAACCGAAAUCGUUUGCGUACACGUUAAACGCAUCUUACAGGAUCAAACACGUUGAAAUAACUUUCACUCUUAUCAGAUUUUCAUAAAAAAUAGCUCGAUUUCUUGGUCAGAUUUAGUUCAGUCAAGGAAUUCUCGCCAAUAACUGAAAUGUACGCUGACCGGAAAACAUAGAUCUGGCGGUGGUAAAAAAAAAUAGAGAAAACAGUAAAGUUUGUACUAGUUGUAAAAAGUAAGGGCUUCUAUAUCCUUUCACAAAGAGAGAGAUGAGAGAAAGUACCCAAAUAGUUACAAGUACGAGUAAGGAAAGUGAAGAAAGUGCCUUAUAAUAUAAUUCACUCUAAAAUAUGAUACAAGUAUUAAGUCUACGUUUCUUUAGAUUUAGAUUGAAUAUAUACUUAUUGACUACUUUUAGUGGCCUUUGUUUUCUCUAUGUAAUUUAUGUAGUCCCAUUACCCAAAUAUCUAUUAUUUCCCCCUUGUCUUUUUUGUUUCUUAUUACAAUUCCAUACAUAUGUACAUUUUGUUUUGGUCAAAAGUCAAAACAUAUCUAUACAUAUUCAAAAUAUAUGUAUGGAAAGUGUUUAGCUCUAAAAAUAGCUAUUAGCUUUCGUACAUGGGACAUUUUAACGCUUUGAAAGAAAUUCGUAAGUGUUUUUUUUAAUCAAAUAACAACUUUUAUAGAUAUAUGAUAUAACAGCAUUUAGCAAGACAGCAACUAACUAAAGUAUUAAAAUUUUGAAACCGAUUCAUGAUGUAUUAUGUUAGUUUGUCAUUCACUUAACUAUUAUAAAUUUAUAAUUGACAAAACAUUUCUGUCUAGACUGGUAUAUAUGUAUGUUCCAAAAUUACAAUAAUGACUAUGUUCUUCAAAUUAUUUAGAGUGAGCAUCAUUUUAUUUUUGUAAACGGUCAACAAUUAAAAACUUCAAAUUUAUGACAAACAAAUAAACAUUAAAAGUUAUAAACAAUAUUUUGUAUAUUUUCGAGUGAUUUUAUACAUCCGGAAAAAAAUAUAUAGAACCAAAUCAUUUAAUUUUUUAAUGUGCGCAUCUUUAUUUUCUUAUUAUGGAAGUAAGAAAUUUGUUUCUGAUGAUAUUAUUGAAAAAGACUUACACGAAAACUGAAUUAGAUAAUAAAAAAAAAAUCUUAUAUAAUACGGUAAGCUAUGUAUGGUUUCCCGAAUAAAAGCUGAAGAAAGGAAGAGGAAAGAAAUAGAGAAGAAGAAAAAAAAAGACUGACCGUAUUCUCCGUCGAUUUUAGCCGCCCGAAGAAAAUAUCAUCGUCUCUCCUUUCGUUUAAGCAGAAAUUUGCUCUGAUUUCAGUGUGCUUCCAACGAUGGUGAGCUCAACUUUUCCACUUAAUCUUUUAUACUUUGAAAUCCUCGAUCUCGAGUGCGCCUCUCGAUUUGGGGUUGCAACGCGUUUUGGUUCGUAUUUAAAUCUUCGGAUUACGAUUUUUUUGGCUCACUUUUCUGUUUCGAUUAGAUCUGUAGAUGGAUUUGAUUAUUUUCUGGGCUUAGAUCUCUGAGAUUUAGUGUUUCUGUGAUCGUUGUGUGACUGAUCUAGGAUCAAAGCAACGCGAGAACUUAUCUGCUGAGUUUACUGUGUUUAUUUCGAUUGCGAUAGCUAAAAUUUGAAAUCAGAAGAAAUCUAAGACUUAGUGUUUUUUUUUUUUUCAUGUGAGAUUUCAGUGGAUUUUAGGGCUCUUACUUGUUGAACCUUUUUUAAGUGAUAUCUAUCAAUUUCGGUGAUAUUCGGUUGUUCUUAUGCAGUCACUUCUCGUGUCUUGAAAUCGACAUUUCUCAGUUUUCGUGAUCACUCAAACUGAUCUAUAUAGAUCUUUCGUUUUCGAUUGCAUUUCAAUUUUGUUUUGCUUUGUCUUGAACUAGCCGUUUCACUAUUGUUCAUCAGUUUCAUGUAAUCUCUUAGGUUGAUGUAUUAACUAUGCACAAUCCAAUCAUCAUAGAGGUCUGAGAAUAAUAGCUAUGCACAAUCCAAUCAUCAUAGAGGUCUGAGAAUAAUAGCUAUGGCCUUAAAUGAAAUGGGUUUGAUGGACUUUUAGGAUUGUGUUUUGAGUAAGAAGUCUUGAAUAUAUGUUCUGUGAAAAGUUGUUUCAUUUUCAUGUUUUUUGGAUUUAACAGGCUAACGCGGCAUCAGGAAUGGCUGUGCACGAUGACUGCAAGCUAAGAUUUCUGGAACUGAAGGCGAAAAGGACACACCGUUUCAUCGUUUACAAGAUCGAGGAGAAGCAGAAGCAAGUGAUUGUUGAGAAAGUCGGUGAACCAGUCCAAACCUUUGAGGAGUUUGCGGCAAGUCUUCCUGCUGAUGAAUGCCGUUAUGCGAUUUACGAUUUCGACUUUGUCACAGCUGAAAACUGCCAGAAGAGCAAGAUCUUCUUCAUCGCGUGGUAAACUAAUUGCAUAGUCUAUAAACUCUGUGUCUUGUUGUUUCUCAUUACCUUCCAAAGGUUUUAUCUUAUUCAUGUGAUGCAAAUUUCUGUUUUUUUCGCCAAGGUGCCCGGACAUAGCUAAGGUGAGAAGCAAGAUGAUUUACGCGAGCUCCAAGGACAGGUUCAAGAGGGAACUAGAUGGGAUUCAAGUAGAGCUUCAAGCAACUGAUCCAACCGAGAUGGAUCUCGAUGUUUUCAGAAGCCGUGCCAACUAAAAGUAAACACUCAAAGUUUCUCUCUUUGAAUGAUCUUAUUCUCUUAUCCUGUUAUUUUCGGAGUGAUGUUACUUUUUUUUCUAUAAUUUACAUUAUGCUGUGAAGGUUAUGAACCUAAAAACUUCAUUUUUUAUCUGUGUUUGGUCUUUGUGUUCAAUGUUGUCUUUGGUGUUCCAUCUUCGUUGUAGAUUUCACUAUUUUGAGUGGGUUUCUGAGUGUAAAGACUCAAUUCGUCUAAUUGAAGAUGAACCCUUUUGGUAUCAUUUAAUGUUACAUUCAUGCCAUUAAAGGUCGAUCUACAUGAUCACAAGAGUUUAAAUCUGUUAUGGUAUGUCAAACCAGCUCGAUCCGACUUGUUUUGAGUCUUGAAUACUAUUCUAGUCUGUUUUUGAAUUUGAUGAAGUGAAGACACUUAUCGAGCCUGGUAGAGGAAUCAGUCUUGAUUUGAUUUUAAUUUUAGGUUAAUUUUAGGUUUUGGGUUCGAAACUGAUUUAUUUAUGUGAUUAAUCUGUUCAUAAUACAAAGAGAAACAGUACAGUCCAAAGCCGAACUUAGCUUUGACUUAAUGUUAAGAACAAAACAAUAUGUGGACCAAUUCGUCUGGGUCAGAUUGCAUUUACAGAUUUUUAAUCGACCACAAUAUCUUCUUAUGAUUAGAUUUGUCGUUUUGACAAUUGGUUUUGUUGACCACAUCUGAAAAACUUUGUAAGAGAUUUAGCUUGCAAUCUCUAAUCUUAUGAACUUAUUCCACGGAUUUAUCAACUAAUCGAUGACAUUUUCAAUAUUGGUGGGAAAAAAAAAUCGAACGAAUUCAAACAUAUUGUACUGUUUCGAGAUAAAUAAUUUGAUUAGAAUACUCAAUAAAAACUAUAAAGAAAUUAAUUGAUAUUUUUCUGAUCCAUAGUAAGCAAAUGCAAAGAAAACAAAUAAGCAAAAGAAAUAUUUUUCUAUACAAAAAGAAAAAAUAAUAUUCGGAUAGCUUACAAAUAACGCUGAGGAGAAGGAAGAGAGAAGAAACAGUGAAGAAAAAGAAAAAAAAAAGUCAUUAAUAUUCUCCAUCGAUUUUUGCCGACCGAGGAAUAUAUCUUCUUCCGCUUCUUCAUUUCAACAGAAAUUUUCUUUGAAAUCGGUUUGAUUCAGCCAUGGUGAGCUAAAUUUUUUCUCCUAUAUGCUUUGAGUUCUUCGAUUUAAAAGCUUCCUUCUCGAUUUGCUUGCUUGCUUGUCGAUUUGAGUCCAAAUCCGGUUGGUUUUCGUCUCGGAUAGUAUAUUUUGUGAACGCUUCUUGUUCGUUUAGAUCUGGAGAUUAUUUUAUAUAUUCGUCGAUCUUUGAUAUUUUGUGUGUGUGAUCGGAUUUGUUCAUAGAAAUCCGACGAAGAACUCGUAACUUUGCUGUGCUUCUUCGAUAGUUAAAUCUGAAAUCAGGAGGAAUCUGAUUCUUCAGUGUGUUUUUCUUACUCGAAGUUCAUAUAUUGAGUUUAGAGCUAAUUACAAGAGGUUUUGAAUAAUUUCAUCAGUGAUAGUCGAUUUUUCGAUCUAUUUUGAUCAUUCUGGUCUUCCGAAGUAAGACAUUUUUCAAUCCUCAUGAUGAUUCGUAAUUGAAGUCUAAAUUGUUCUAAAUCUUUCAAAUUGUCUGGAAACUAAAAACUAUUUAGCUUCUCUACAAUUUAAUGUUAUCAAUGCAAAUAUUUGUAUUGAAUGAUGUGGAUCUUUUGGUCUAGAAAUGUAUCUUGAAGAGAUUUGCAUCUUCUUACUGUUCUUCUCUGUGUAUUGAUGAUACUUUGAUUAUAACAGGCUAACGCAGCGUCGGGAAUGGCUGUGCACGAUGAUUGCAAGCUAAAAUUCUUGGAACUGAAGGCAAAACGAACAUUCCGUACCAUAGUGUACAAGAUUGAGGACAAGCAAGUGAUUGUAGAGAAACUCGGCGAGCCUGAACAAUCAUACGAUGACUUUGCAGCAAGUCUUCCAGAUAAUGAAUGCCGAUAUUGCAUCUAUGAUUUCGACUUUGUCACUGAGGAGAAUUGCCAGAAGAGCAAGAUUUUCUUCAUCGCAUGGUAAAAAGACAAUUACUAACGUAUAUGUCCUUGGAUUUGUGUUUAUGAGAUGAUCAUCAAGAUUCAAGAAUUUGUGUUUGUGUUUGUGUGGUACAAGGUCUCCUGACACAGCCAAAGUGAGAGACAAGAUGAUUUACGCGAGCUCUAAGGAUAGGUUCAAGCGAGAGCUAGAUGGGAUUCAAGUGGAGCUUCAAGCAACCGAUCCAACCGAGAUGGGUCUUGAUGUUUUCAAGAGCCGCACCAACUAAGCAAAACAAAACCCUUGCAAAGGGCAUUGAAUAAGUUUGUUUUAUGGAGUGAUGAUAUAUGUUUCUGUUAACAGUUUCCUCUUGACGGUUAUGAAACUUUUAACUCCUUUCAUUAUAUUUGGGUAUUAUUGUAUUUGAUGUCUUGAUGACGAUGUGUUUCAUCUAUCAACUAUGAGAUUGUGUACCCUUGUGGUGGUUUGCAAUCUGUGUCAGUUUAUAGUUAUGUUACAAUACGUGAAAAAUCAAAUUGGUGUUAUUGAUAUAUGUUAUGUGGCUUUAAGCCUUUGUCUCCGUAUCCCAUAGUUUUGUAUAAGCCUUUUUUUGGGGUUUUGGGGUACAUAGUUAGAUACCAAGUCUUUUAUUCACGAUCAGUUGCAAAACAUCGUUCAAGCAAUUCUCUCUGAUCUUUUGGGGAAACAUUUAUAAUUGGUAUUGUGGAUCGAAAUAUCAAAAGCAUAAGAGCAUAAGAUUUUGGUGGUUUUCUAUAACUGGAAGAAAGUCAUUUAUGUAAAUUGCAAACGUUAUGCGCACUUUUGUACAACUUCAAAAGAUCUGAGACAAUUCAGUAAAUAAUAAAGUUUCCGGUAAAUUUAUAGAACUGGGGGCAAUUCAGUAUUCCUGAGAAUUUUUGUAAAUUUCAAUUGAUAUGGGUCUUAUAAAAAGUUAUGGGGCUGUUUUACAAAUUUUUAAACUUUCAGGUACUCUGGUAAAUAGAUCAAGUUAUGGAUCAUAAUUUAAUUAAAAGAAUGUACGUAUACUUUUAUAAAUUCGGAAAGAUGUGGAAAAAAUCUAAAAAGUUCAAGAAAGCAUUAAGCGGCCAGUAAUACAAUGCCUAGCUCCUAGGACGUGGUCUAGACGAUUAUAUGGUUUAAAUGUUUAUGAGAUAAAUAAAUAUAUUAUAUAUAUUUUUAUAGAAUGCAAAGUUCAUAAAUAAUAAAAUUUAAAUAUUAUUAAUCUUAAACAUAGAUUCAAAGUUCAAAUACACACAAGAACAAAAAGAAAUCUUAUAAAUGUCAAAUAUAAAACAUUAAAAUAUAGCAUAUAUUUGAAUUAGAUAAAACAUCUAUUUGAACAUCAGAAAUGUUAUAUAUAUAUAUAAAUAAUAAAAUUUAAAUAUUAUUAAUCUUAAACAUAGAUUCAAAGUUCAAAUACACACAAGAACUAAAAGAAAUCUUAUAAAUGUCAAAUAUAAAACAUUAAAAUAUAGCAUAUAUUUGAAUUAGAUAAAACAUCUAUUUGAACAUCAAAAAUGUUAUAUAUAUAUAUAUAUAUAUAUUAGACAAAAACAUUCACUAUAUUCAUAUUAAAAUAACAAAAAAAAAUCAAAAACGGCACCUAAAAAACAAAUGUUAACUGAUUAACAAUUUUGAUGAACCGCUUAAAAUCAUCUAGAAUCCCUUAAAACCGUCUAGAACCGCCUAGAGCCGCCUAAAACCACUUUAGAACAUGUAAAACCGGUUAGGACCGUUUAGGCGGCCACCUAUACCGUUUUUUAGAAUAUUUUUUUUCGAAAAACUCAGUCAAUAUUCCAUAACUACGAAUUUGUCUAUGUCUAGUUCUUCCAGCAUUAACUCUUUUUAGGUUGUUUGUACUAAUGCACUAAUAAUAAUACAAAAUAAAAAUAAAUAAAAUAAUGCAUUUUAGGGUGUUUCUGCAUUGGAAAUAUAACAAAUAAAUAUUAAAACCACAUUGAAAAAUGUAAAUCUUAUAAAAUGUGUAUUGUUAAAUAACAAAAUGUGAUUGAAAUGUUUAUGGUAACUUUGAAUUUCACGAAAUAUUGAAAUAACUGUUACAUAGAUAUUGCAGAUUGCAGAAGAUAUCGCUAAUCAUCUCAUCCACAUGAAUCUCAAAGAUACAAUGCAUGAAAUUGGAAGGAAAAAAAACUCAUAUAUUGCAUAAAAGACUAUAAAUUGUUAUUGACAACAUUGUAACUAUAUAUCAUUAAACUCUGUCAGUUUAGAAACAAAGUGUUGACAUAACAUAAAUGCAUCCAUGAGAUUAUUUGUAGAGGUGUCAAAUUGGGCUCUGACCCAUGGGUUCGGACCAAGUAGAAUCGUAGUAGUGCGGAUUUGGGCUCCAUAAAAUUUUUUCAUAUAAAAAGCGGGUUUUGCGGUCCAAACUCGCAUAGAAGUUGGACUUUUACGGAUAGGGUCAGAGCGGAUCCGCGGAUUUGCGGGCUAAUCCGCAGAAUUUGAUGUUUUCUUGUAAAACUCGAAAAGUGAAGUAUUUUGUCAUCUUUGAUUGGUGGAUUUAAAGUAGUAGUUUCAUGGAGUGAAUCAAAGCCUAGUGGAGUCACACAAUUCAGCUAUUAGGCUUUGUGAUAGCUUCAUUUCAAUGAGAUCAAGCAAACAUCAAACUAGUAUGUGUUUUAUAUUCGAUUCGAUUCAGAUUCUCUGAUUGGAUUUUUAAAUUUGGGAAAAAAUCUGGUCAUUGUCUUCCCAACUAAAAUCUAGUAUUUUUUUAGAGUUUUAAUUUCAGUUUAAUGUCAUAAGUUUGAUUUUUUGUUGGUUUUGCUCAUCGACUAUAUCACAGACGUGAUUUUUAUUUUGUCCGCAUCGAUGCAAAUGUAAUUUAGAAUCGCUUAAAUCUUGAAUUGACAAUAAAUAGUUUUGCUUGAGAAUCACAUUUGUUUGAACGCUGGACUAACAAAUAAGCUUUGUUCAUCUGUUUUUUUUUUUUUAUUUUAUAUGUGAAUGUCUUGUUGCUUGCAUCUUGAUGGUUAUCUAGCUUAAAUUACCAGUUUUGAUGUGUAUCAUUAUUUGUAAUUCAUUUAUUUUCUUUUCAAAACUAAGUGUUUAUUCUUAUCGUUAAAUUGAUUUUUCAAAUCUUAUGGCAUCCUAGAGCUAGGAGUUUUGUAUAGGAGGUUUAUUGAAUUCAUUUGUUUGUUCAUCGAAUUUACUUAGACAAAGAAUUUUCUUUAGUUUUGUUUCUUAUGCAUAUUGUGAUUCAGUUACGAGCAAAACUUUAUUCUCCUCUUGCAGAUUUUCUGGUUAUAUAAGUCUAAAUGUCAUAAGAACUUUAAGAUGAAGAAGAAAGUAUGAACCCACGGGUCAGCCCGCAAAACUGUAGAGUACAGGUGGGUCGGGCUUGGAUGCAUCAAUUUGGGACCGCAGUUUAUGAUGGGCCAGCCCGCCAAACCCGAAAAAAAAAAUCCGCAUCAGGCCGACUUGGACGCGGGUUGGCCCGUUUGACAUCUAUAAUUAUUUGUAUCAGAUGAUAAUUGUGACAGGUUACCUUUAUUUUUAUAUAUAGAAUAUUACCUCCUUUUGUAUGUAUAAAACCAUUUCAAUUGUUCACUUGAUCAAUAAAAUAUUUGAAUAUUUGAAUAUAAAUAAACAAUCUUACGUAAAUAGAUAUUUGAAAAGAGAGAAUAUAUGUGUGGCAAAACUCGAUAAAUAUGUAUUUUUGCAUUGAGGGUGUUUUUGCAUUGAAAAUUUGACAAAUAAAGAUUAGAUUCACAUGAAAGAGAGUAAAAAUUACAAAAUGUGUAUAGUUAUAAUAAAAUUGUCAUUUGAAAUUUUUAUGACAUAUAUACUUCAGAAAGUAUAUAUUGAAAUGAUUAUUAUUGUAGAAGAGAUCACUAAUCAGCUCAUCCACAUGAAUCUCUCUAAGAAAUACAAUGCAUGAAAUCAAAAUGAAAAGAAAUCUCAGAUAUUGCAUAAAUGACUACGAAUUUUUAUUGAAAAUAUUAUAACUAGAUAUCAUUGAAAUCUAUCAAUAUAUAAACAAAGAGUUGACAUAAAAUAAAUGCAUCCAUGAAAAGUUUUGUUUACUAUAAUUAUGACAUGUGAAGUUAUUGGUUUGUUAGUGUUAUUUUUUUUUUCCUUUCUUGUACGUAUUUUAUAUGUGGUUUUGAGUUUACUAUUUUCUAAUGUUUGUUUUUUUUUUUAGUGUUGAGUUUAAUGUUUGUAUGAAUUUUUUGAGAUUUUUUGUGUGCUAAUGUUUUUGACAUUUAGCGACAGACCAAAAGAUUUCACCGGACCCUUAUUGAAUAUAAGAAUAUUGUGUUGUCUUAUUUCAUAUGAUGAGAAUUACAAAGGUAUAUAUAGGAGAGCUACAGAAUCAUAUAAUAAAUGAGAGAAUCAUAGAGAAUAAUUGUAUAGAGUAAUUAUAGGGAUCUUGAUAGAUAUUAUCCUUAAUAUGACCCCUCAAGCUCAAGGCGGAGAUGAAGUGAAGACGGAAACAUUGGCUUGAGAUUGAAUCUUUGAUAAACUUGAUAGGAAGAAAGAAGAAACAUCGCGCUUGAACCAUGCGGUAGACGGAUUUACCGUGACUGAUGGGAACACCUCAACGAACGUGUAUGUGGAGGUUGAAGGAAGCAUAUAGCUUAGGAGAAGUCAUUAUGGACUUAAACAAGUGAUCAACUUAGAUCUUGGACGACAUUGGUCGUGUGGAAACCUAUAGCUUGAUGAAGCCGUAAACGACUUGACCGAAUAUCAUAUUAGGAUGGGCGGCAUACGGUGGAAAGAUUUGUAGAGUUUUUUUUUUUUUGUAAAUGAGAUGAAAGAAAACGAAAACAAAAAUUCAAAAAUAAAGAAUGGAAAAAGUGCUAUGAAAAAAAAAGGAGCACAAAGCUCUAUAAGAAAGUGAAGAAAAACGUGUUUUGAGUUAAACAAUAUAUAGAUUGAGUUUGAUCGGUGGAUCAAAACUCACACAAAUAACCUGCUCUGAUACCAUAUUGAAUAUAAGAAUAUUGUGUUGUCUUAUUUCAUAUGAUGAGAAUUACAAAGGUAUAUAUAGGAGAGCUACAGAAUCAUAUAAUAAAUGAGAGAAUCAUAGAGAAUAAUUGUAUAGAGUAAUUAUAGGGAUCUUGAUAGAUAUUAUCCUUAAUAACCCUCCAUUUCUUCUAGACUACUUAUUCGCCUCUACAAGCUACAACUUGCGCAGCUUAAAGACCUGUGCAAAGGAGAUAAAUUCAUUUGAUUUAUAAUGACAAAAAGAUAUGAUAUUGUACAACUCAAUUACAAUAAGAUGGAGUGUUGGGAUUUGUUUGGCUCUCUAAUGUGAAGAAAUCUCUCCAAGGAGGCAAGGAUAAGAUUCAAUGCUUCAAAUUUGAACACUUGUCUUUGAAGUGGAGUAAUAAUAUCUCAUUACUUGUCUCCAAAAUGGAGCAAUAUUCAAAGAAUCAGUCCAUAUUAUGGAAACUGAGACACUACGAUUUCUUAAUAUACUUCAAAUAGAGAAUUAUUUCUACAAAUACCAACUCAAUAUCACUAACAAAAUAUCACUAAGCCACCACAUAUGAUUUUAUAACCUUAGAGCAAACAUUUAUAUCCGCUUAAGAUUUUUUGACAUAACUACUAAAAAUAUUCUUGUGACCAAAGCUUACCUUUCUAGGAGUUUUGAUCAAAUCUCUUUAUCAUCGCCUCAUCAGAUCUAACAGAAAAAAUAACAAGAAUUGUAACAUUGCAUUCCUAUUGUUCAUCAGAGGUUUUCCUGUCAUUUAAAAAGGUCAACUCUUACUAGCACCAGUUUCCUUAGGGAGAGCAAAGCCUAAGAUGAAUGGCAUAAGUGUUUAACUAAUAAGCUGGCUGUAAGAAGAUCUCCCAUCAUUUAUCUGGAUUCUCUGCCAAUCAUAGAGUCUGUUGCAGCUCUAGAACUUAUGUUGUGACUAUAAACAUGAGAAAAUAGAGGGUUACUUCACCUGACUUGUCAUUUUUUCUUAGAUAUCAAACGUCUCUUGAACUUUUGUUCUUAUGAACCCUCAAAUUGAUGAUAAUAUAAACUGUCACAAAUCAACAAAAGUUAAUAAGAAAUUUACCUCUUGUGCAUGCAUGAAAGCAUAAAAUGUUUAAUUGUUGAGAAACAACCAAAAAUAGAUGAUUGAAAAGUAAGAGACAUGAGAAAACUUGAUUACAAUGUGUAGAUGUUAGAUUUAUGCGUUGGUUUUUGUUUUUUUUUUUGGUUUGGUGUUUUGAUCUAUUUGUGUUUGAAUUCAUGGUAUGUGCAUUUUUUUUUUGUGUUCAAUUUGCAUUUGAGUGUUUUGUGUGUGAGAGCAUGUGUUAAGUUGUUUUUAGAAUUGCAAUUAAAUGUUUGUGUUAUGUUCUCCAUUGUGUAUAAAUGUGUUUGAUUAACCUUAGUUUCAGUGUCUAUUAUGUUGUGUGAGAAGUGGGAGUGCAACACAUUUUUUUCCAAAACUCCCAAUCAAUAGUAAACAAGAACCAUUUAGAACAAAUGGUAACGAUGCAAACUUUGAAGGAAAAAAAAAUGUUUCGUCAAAGAUAAACUCAAUUAGGUGCACAUCCAUGGAUAAUGAACAAGGAGAAUUCUGCUGAAAAUCAAAAGAGUUUUUGAAUAUAUCAUGUCGUGUUAAAAACUAAGAUUUUUGGAUUGAAAUGUGUGAGACAACCUCUCACCAAAAGCGUUAUAGUUCUCAACCAAGUUCCUGAGCUAACAAACUGAUGCAAAUUUGAAAAUUAAACCAAUGCCUUUACCAAGCAUAUAGAACCUGACACAGAAUACCGUUGAUAACACCAUAUUUUGACCAAUUUUAUGGAUCAUUUUGAGAUACUUUUUCUAUGUUAUUUAUUGCUUUCAAAUGUUUUUAUUAAGUUUUCUAGUACUUGUAGUUUCAAGACUCUUUUUAGAAAACUUAGAAAAAAACUUAACACAAUGGAUAGAAGACCAGAUUUUAGCUCAGAGUCCGUCGGAAAUCCACCCUCAGAUGAAAACCUUCUCAACGUCCGAUCCAGCUCAAGUUUGGAGAUCUUAAAGAUGGAACUACCAGCUUUCCAGAACACUUUAGAGAAUGGCAAUCCAACGGUUCAAUCAAAAGUUACGCGAAGAGUAAAAUGUCCCAUAAACCAACCAGCAAGCAUUCUUACCCGCGGCCAACACCCAAUUCGCACCGGUCCCGUCCUUUCCGACCGCGGAGAUUGGUCUGUCCGGCCUAGAAGCCCAUUUUCAAGCUCAAAAUAAUUCUCUUAAUUGGAGAAACCCUAAGUGACGCCCAAAAAUGACUUCAACACUAUAAAUACAUGUUUUUAGGAGCCAUAGACGAGAGAGACACAUGUGCGACUUCUCUUUUACAGCUUUUAAGUUUUUGUCUAUCAUUUUAUUAGUUUUAGGUUUAGAGAGAUAAAGAUCAAUCUCCUGAAUCCUUUUUGUUUCGUUACUUUAUCGAUUUCUAUUCAGCUUUUCAAUACAAUGUUUUUGCUUUCUUUAAUCAUGUCUGAGUAAUUUUAUUGUUGGGUUUAAAGGAUUUUUGAUGGGGGCUAUAUAUGUUCGAUGAGGAUUCCAUUAGCUAUUGAAGCCGAAUCCUAGAAAUUUUUCUUCUAAACUUAUUUUUAAUGCAUGAGAAUAGCGUCAUGAACUACAAUCUGAUCUCGGUCUUUGGUGUUGCAAAAGUAUUCAUCCGGGGCCAGAUCUAGUUUGAGAAGAGCAGAUCAACCAUAGGAGUGAAAAUCUACCUAUGGGCGAACUGUGAAUGUUGACGAGUCUUAAGCAAGCUUGCAUCUUUUCCCUUCCAAGGCCAGAGUGGAAACCUACUGGUAAGGGUUGCGAGAGAUAGUUGGUUAUGAUCACGACAGUGGCGUAUUCAUACGUUUGUGACUUUAGUUCUAAAAGUUUUAGCUAGGAUCUUUUAAACUACUUUUUAACAAUGUUUUGAAUCGUUCAUCCCCGGAGAGAAUUUCUUUGAAAACCCAGUGUCUCGUCUUUAUAAGUUUUCGCCGAUUUUCAUACAAGUUUUAGUCAUUAGGUCAUUUUCUUUAUUCCAGCCGAUUUUCAUACAAGCUAUUUAGGUUUAGUCGUUUUUCAUCGUUUUUAGUCGAUUUUAUUAGCUUUAGUUAUUAGGUCAUUUUGAUUUCAGUAUUUUCCCGUUAAUGUUAGUUUUUACGUUUUAAAGACACCACCAAAAUCCCUUAAAAUAUUUCCUGGUUCUAGACUUCCUUACUUUAUAUUUCUUUCGAAGGCUUUUGUAGAAAAGAACCUCAUUCCCUGUGGAUUCGAUCCCUAAGUACUACAAUCGAUCAGCUGUGCACUUGCGGCUUAUUGAUUUCAUUAGGGUAAAACUUGACACCCUCAUCACGCACGCAAUCAAGUUCUUGGCACCGUUGCUGGGGAUGUCACGCGUUUCUUUUUCCGGAAAACCCUAAGAAAAGUUGGUAAAUCGACUCUAGAACCCGUUUUCUAUUUAUUUUCGUUUUUGGUUCUUUUUGUUUCAGUUCCUAAAGCAAUGGACCCUAUAAAUCGAAAUCGCUACUACGAUGGAGGUUUUUACAACACUCUUCAAGCCACCAGACACAGAGAAGAGCAAUACAUACGCGACCUCUUCAACUCUGUUUGGAACUCUGAUCCGAACCACCGAGCAUUCCUGGAUGAACCCUACACGCCUCCUAUGGUAAACCCUAAUCUACCUUGUCAUCGCCUACCUCACCAAAUCCUCCAGCAGGAUGAUAACGUCUAGAUCAGUAAAAGAUUGGAGCAGCUUGUAGCCACGAUCAAGCAGUUCACUGAAGCUCAAGCCGUCUAAGGCCGCCCUUCAUGAGAGGAUUGAUAGUAUGUCCAUAUACUUCAAUAAAAAGUUUGAAGAUCUCUCAGCUCAAAUCAAGUCUAUCGAAACUCAGGCAAACAAAGAUGCUGCGUUUAUCUAUAAAAGGAUAGACGAAGUUGAAGAGCAAGUUGGAGAGAAUGAAGUCAACAUUCGUAACGCUAACGGCAGCAUUCACACCCUUGAGAUCAAACAUGAAGAAGAAGAAGAAACUAUCAAUGAUCAUAACAACCAUUCUUACUCCUACGUGGAAGAACUAUGGGAUGGAGUACACAAGGUUCGAGACAAGGCAGAUGAGAUAGACUCCACCGUAGACAAAGUAGUCUAUGCUCUCGAUGAAAUCAAAGAAAAAGUUGAGAAGAUUAUGCAAGGGUAUGGAGUGCAUGACUCAACACUUUUCAACAAUGAUCUUGACCAAAAAGAAGGGCAUACAGAACCACAAGUCCCAAAAACCCACUUAGAAGGCAAAGGAUAAGGUGAAACAAUAGAACCACCUCAGAGCCUCUUGUCCACGGUUGCACCUCCCGCGACCGCGGCCAACAGCAUUUUAGCUGCGGUCGUGCAACUUCCACCGGCGGCCAUUAGCCAUUCCACCGCGGUUGAGCCUCCUCCACCUGCGGUCAACCAUCGGUCAGAUUCAUCUAAGCCUUCCUCUACUCUUGCAGGCUGAUAACACCGUAUUUUGACCACUUUUAUGGAUCAUUUACUUUUUCUAUGUUUUUAAUUGCUUUUAAGUACUUUUAUUACGCUUUUCUAGUAUUUGUAGUUCCAAGACUCUUUUCAGGUAACUUAGGGAAAAGCUUAACAAAAUGGAUAGAAAACCAGAUUUCAGCUCAGAGUCAAACCGUCAGAAGUUCACCCGCGAUUGAAGGCCUUCUCACCGUCUGAUCCAGCUCAAAUUGGGAGAUCUUAAAGAUGGAAGUAUCAGCUUUCCAGCACACUUUACAGCUUGGCAAUCCAACGGUUCAAUCAAAAGAUACGCGAAGAGCAAGAUGUCCCGUAAACCAGCGGGCAAGCGUUUCCACCCGCGGCCAACAGGCCAUUUCCCGCGGUCACAAGCAUCCCGACCGCGGCCACCCACCCAUCUAACUCCGACUUUGAAGGCCCAUUUGUGAAGCCCAUAUCAUUUUCCCAGCCUCAAUUCCGGAACCCUAGACACCAGAGAGUAUUGGAGACUAUAAAUACAUGUCAUUUAGGUCGUUUUUAAGGAGAGAAGAAGAGAGACGAAAUACUUUACAGAAAUUUUAAUUUAAGCUUUGUUUUUAGGUUUUAGGGAGAGAGAGAUCUGUCUCUUGAACCAUUGUUCUUUCUUUUUCAAUUUCGGUUUCUAUUCUACCUUUUAAUACUAUGUUUUUGAUUUCGUUUAUCAUGUCUGAGUAGUUUUAUUGUUGGGUCUAAGGGAUUUUCGAUGGGGAUAUAUGUGUUCGAUGAGGAUUCCAUGAGCUAUUAAGCCGAAUCUUAGAACUUUUUCUUCUGAAUUCGUUUUUACUGCAUGAGAGUAGCGUCAUGUUCUACAAUCUGAUCCAGAUGCUUGGUGACACGAAAGUGUUCAUCCGGUGUCAGAUCUAGUUUGGGAGAUCAAAACAAACAUAGGAGUGGAAACCUACCUAUAGGCGAUUUGUGAAUGCUGACGAGUCUUAAACAUAAUGCACCUCUUCUUUUCCAGGGCCAGAGUGGAAACUUACUGGUCAAUGUUAAGAGAGAUAGUUGUCUAUGAUCACGACAGUGGCGUAUUCAUACGUCCAUGACUCCAGUUCGAAAAGUUUAAGCUAAGAUUUUAUCAAAUUUACUCUCUAGCAAUGUUUUGAAUCGUUCAUACCCCUGAGAAAACUUCCCUGAACCUCAGCGCUUUCUUUCUUAUAGAUUUACACCGAUUUUCAUUCAAGCUUUAGUCUAGUUUAUUUACUCUUUCAAUCGAUUUUCACUUAUCAAUUAGGUUAGCCGUGUUUCUCGUUUUUACCUGUUUUCGUUAAGUUUAGUUAUUAGGUCAAUUUAAUUACCGUAUUUUCUCUUUAGGAUUCGUUUUUACGUUUUAAACACACCACCAAAACCCUCACAAAACUCGCCUGGUUCUAGACUUCCUUACUUUAUAUUUCUUUCGAAGGCUUUUGAAGGAAAGAUCCUCCUUCCAUGUGGAUUCAAACCCUAAGUACUACAAUCGAUCAGCUGUGCACUUGCGGCUAUUGAUUUCAUUUAGGGUAAAACCUGACACCCUCAACACGACAGCACAUGACAGGCCAGUGUUCAUUUAAUGCAUCUGCUGGGAUGGUCAGAACCCCUUUCCUCGAGCGAACAGUGUACGCAAUUAACUCCAAGGCGUCUCAAGAAGAAGAUAAGGUACUACAAUGCAACAUAGCUUUAGCUUAUGAAGAUGAAUAUGAAGGACAAUACCUUGAAGACGAAGACUAUCGUUUUUUCAUAGAAGGGGACAAUCCAGACAGAUUGGUGGAACAAGGCUCACCAUUCUUUAGAGAAAUACUCAUCGAGUUUAACAAAUUUGUGAAGACAAUCCCUCUCUAUACAUGUUUCGAUGAUGUGUGGGAACUUGGCUGUUUGCAAGUUUUCUUUAGGUACAUCAAGGAGACAAAUGAGGAUAUUCAAACUUACUUUGGGAGAGCCAGAUGCCUAUCCUUUCCCAGGACAUCACCUGAUGCUGUAGUUUACUCAAUCCACCUUCAAAGACCUGAAGAAUGCAGCUACUACACCAACAAAAUCAGCAAAGAAAAGUUUGAUGAAUUCAAUGAUGUAGUUCAAAGUUUGCCAGAAGGAAUCACCUUCGCCAGAGCUUGCAAGUACUUCAUGAUCGGCCACCCACUACUUCUGUGAGAGCAAAGAAUCCAUUCAUGAAAUCGAAGACUUGUUCAAUCAUGCCAGAAGAGGUAGACCUGUUCGAACACUUCACAAAAUCGAAGGUCAAGGUCAGUUUCUCAUCUCUUGUUCGAUUAGAGGUGAAAUAUUUAACAAUGUGUUUUGUGAUUUUGGAGCUUGUUUUAACAUAAUGUCCAAGGCAAUUGCUUUGUGACUGGAUAUUAAGCACUUGCGCAGGAUUAGGACAAAGAUAGGUCUAGCUGAUGAUUCCAGUGCAACACGUAAAGGAGUAGCUUAUGACAUUCCUUUAAAGAUAGGAGACUGCAUUGUUCCUGUCGACUUCUACAUUGUCAAGACAAAGGACGUGUCGACUUCUACAUUGUCAAGACAAAUGACGCAACACAUCCAGUGAUUCUAGGAUGGUAUUUUCUAGCAACUUCCAGAGCCAUCAUGGAUUGGCCAAACCGGAGGAUUUCAUUCGCUAAUAUCGACAAGGAUGUCUUCACGGAAGCUGUCCCAUACAACAGCAAUGCAGGAAAACAUCCUGUAGCAGAGGUGUUUGAAGCAGAACUUUGGAGUGACGAAGAACCUGCUAAGCAGAACAAGAAGAUUUUGAAAAAAACUUGUCUUAGGACAAGGUCUUCUUCAUCUGACUACGUCGAGUCUUAACCAAGUCGAGCUAAAAGACUUAAACCAGAAUCGCUUUAUGGGAGGCAACCCAUUUAGAUAUUGUUUUCUUUAGACUUUUUCUUUAUUUUUCUAUUGAUCUUUUUUUUCUUAGUUUCAGGUGUUUCUUAUAAAUAAAAAUAACCAAAAAAAAUAAAAAAAAACUUUAAAAACCCAAAAAGAAUGAUGGUUCCGAACAGUUCGGCCCAGCAUGAACCAAGGAGAAGCAGGAAACAUGCCGCAUUUAAAUCCCGCGGUUGCAUACCUUUGGACUGCAGGAAGGAAAACAUCGACCGCGGCCCCAAACUCCUAACCACGGCCAGCCAUAGCUUCCCCGCGAUCGCGUGAGCCUGGACCGCGGAAAAUGGUCGUUCACUCGACCCCCGACCCCAAACCACCCACUUCACCUCAAUCCACCUCACCAAGUAACAUUCCACCCUAUCCAUCACUUCCCAUCACCUUCCAUCACCAUUUAUCACCUUCCUGCAUCCUCCCAAAUCGAUCCGGUUCAUUCCCGUCAGCAUCUCAGAUCCAGGUAAGUUCCCUUCGGCUUAUCUAUUUUGAUAUAUUUAUGCAUUUUUCUCAUCCAAUCUCGACUUAUUUCACAGUGAGGACAGUGUGAUUUAAGUCUGGGGGAGGAUUUCAUCCCUUUCAAACCACUUUUUUUUCAUGAGUCUUGCAUUAUCACACUUUUUGCAUUUUCUUUAAAGUUUUUCAAAAACGGUUUUCAAAACAAAAUACAUUUUAAAGGGAAUGGUAAACAUGAAUUAAUGAUAGUUGACUGUGUGCUUUUAAACUGUUCCUAGUGACAUACUCAUUCAUGAUUUAGGACUAGACUAGGCGGUAGCUAAGCACAUUUGAAACGAAGUACCCCUGAGGAAUUUGAAUGAUUUCGAUUUAGAUGAAGUAAUAUAUUAGCUCUGUUUUAUAUGGACUUAACAUUGACUUAAUUUUCUCAUUGAAGCAUUCGACCAGGGAAACAAAAUCAUACAUUCAUGACUCCUGAAUGGCUAGUUCAUCUUUAGCUAGUUCCCCACCUUAACCCAACCUCUUUCAAACCACAUGCAUUCUUGUUUUCCAUUGUCCUAUAUGCAUAUAUGUGCAAAAACGUCGGAGAGAAAGAGGAACUUUGCAGUUUUCAGUCACCAAAGAUGGAGGCCUGCGAUUUUUCCGGAAACUUUACCGGAAGGAUUCAACACGUGGAGAAAACACAGUUUGCCUUGGAAAAACUUCAAAAUCUUGGUAGAAUCUCGUCCUUUAGACACUCUCUCUAAAAAUGCAUUUCCCCUUUCAUCAAAAAAAAAAAAACCAAAAAUAAGAAAUGAAUGGAAAUAAGAGCUUUAGAGAGUCUAAAAGGAUCGAAUUUUAUCCUUGAGGCAAGCUAGAGUCUGAUUAUAUGGAGUUUUGGAGAUCAUCUUUCUGAUUCCCAGAAAAGAUAUAAGUCUUGGGGAAGUAGCUGUUCACAACAAAGGAGGAAGAAUUAUGCAACAACAUUUGGCAAGAAGAAGUGAUUAAAAACUAUGCAUCAACAAGUCCACUCUCUCUUGCAGUUUUGCAUAAUAUCUUGCACCCUCCAGAUUCAUCAGGUAACCCGAAACAUUUUAACUCCACCACUUAAACAACCUUUAAAUGCCAAAUGCCGUCUACCCUGGAUAAUAUCUGAUGAGAAUUCACUAUUGCUCUUGAUGAAUGUAGAGAGCUAGUUGACUGGAAUCGAGAUUUAGAUUGUUUUAGUUUUGCAUGACAGAAAAAGUGGACUAGUAUCUUUUGUGUCUUGAUGAGAAUUUUCUAGACUAAGUUGUGGACUGAUGUACGAUCUAUGGUCCUAGUUUAGGAGUUCAUGUCUCUGAGAUUUGUGCAUUUCCUUUUUUUUCACUUCACAGAUUGGAUCUCUGCUUUGUUUGAGGACAAACAAAUGUUUAAGUCUGGGGGAGUUGAUAACACCGUAUUUUGACCAAUUUUAUGGAUCGUUUUGAGAUAGUUUUUCUAUGUUUUUUAUUGCUUUCAAAUGCUUUUAUUAUGUUUUUCUAGUACUUGUAGUUUCAAGACUCUUUUUGGGAAAUUUAGGAAAAAGCUUAACAAAAUGGAUAGAAGACUAGAUUUCAGCUUAGAGUUAAACCGUCAGAAUUUCACCAUCAAAUGAAGACCUUCUCACCGUAUGAUCUAGCUCAAGUUUGGAGAUCUUAAAGAUGGAACUACCGGCUUUACAGAACACUUUACAGAAUGGCAUUCAACGGUUCAAUCAAAACUUAUGCGAAGAGCAAAAUGUCCCGUAAACCAACCGGAAAGCAUUUCUACCCGCGGCCAACACCCAAUUCGCACCGGUCGCAUCCUUUCCGACCGUGGAGAUUAGUCUGUCUGGUCUAGAAGCCCAUUUUCAAACCCAAAAUGAUUCUCUAAUUUGGAGAAACCCUAAGUGACGCCCAUAAAUGACUUGAACACUAUAAAUACAUGUUUUUAGUAACCCUAGACAAGAGAGACACGUAGGCGACUUCUCUUUUACAGAAUUUAAGAUUUUGUCUUUAAUUUUAUAGUUUUAGGUUUAGGGAAAUAGAGAUCUAUCUCUUGAACCUUUUUGUUUAUUUACUUUAUCAAUUUCUAUUCAGCUUUUCAAUACAAUGUUUUUGCUUUCUUUAAUCAUGUCUGAGUAUAGUUUUAUUGUUAGGUUUAAGGGAUUUUCGAUGGGGCUAUAUAUGUUCGACGAGGAUUCCAUUAGCUAUUGAAGCCGAAUCCUAGAGAUUUUUCUUCUAAACUUAUUUUUAAUGCAUGAGAGUAGCGUCAUGAACUACAAUUUGAUCUCGGUCCUUGGUGUUGCGAAAGUAUUCAUCUGGGGCCAUAUUUAGUUUGAGAAGAGCAGAUCAACCAUAGGAGUGGAAACCUACCUAUGAGCGAACUGUGAAUGUUGACGAGUUUUAAGCAAGCUUGCAUUUUUUCCCUUCUAGAGCCAGAGUGGAAACCUACUGGUAAGGGUUGCGAGAGAUAGUUGGUUAUGAUCACGACAGUGGCGUAUUCAUAAUUUCGUGACUCGAGUUCUAAAAUUUUUAGUUAGGAUCUUUUAAACUACUUUUUAGCAAUGUUUUGAAUCGUUCAUCCCCAAAGAGAAUUUCUCUGAAAACCCAGUGUCGUCUUUAUAAGUUUUCGCUGAUUUUCAUAUAAGCUUUAGUCAUUCGGUCAUUUUCUUUAUUCCAGCCAAUUUUCAUACAAGCUAUUUAGGUAUAGUCGUUUUCAUCGUUUUUUGUUGAUUUUAUUAGGUUUAAUUAUUAGGUCAUUUUGAUUUCCGUAUUUUCUUGUUAUGAUUAGUUUUUACGUUUUAAGACACUACCAAAACCCCUUAAAAUAUCACCUGGUUCUAGACUUCCUUACUUUAUAUUUUUUUCAAAGGUUUUUACAGAAAAGAACCUCCUUCCUUGUGGAUUCGAUUCCUAAGUACUAUAAUCGAUCAGCUGUGCACUUGCAGCUUAUUAAUUUCAUUAGGGUAAAACUUGACACCUUCAUCACGCACGCAAUUAACACUCACAAACAAACAAAGGAAAACAAACUUUAAGCUCCAAAUCAACUACAUAUAAUCACUUUUAUGCUAAGCAUAAGACUUUAAUUAAAAAGAAAAAUUUAACAUUCUCAUUGUUAAUUAGGAUUCCCCAUCAACUAUCGAUGCAGCUUUAGCAAACUAACAACAACUUCUAUGGAGAUUGAAUUGCUUCCAAUCCAUUGCAGGUGAAAAACCUACACAUGAAGCUAUAGAUAUAGGGAGACCAUAUGAAGGUUCAGAUAACGCCUAAUGAAAAUGUGAAAACAUUUAAAGAUAUGUCAUUUCAUCUUGAGUUAGAGGAUGAGCGCAUAAAGGCUUUUAAGUUCUUUAACGAGGCCAACUUUGCGAGUUCAAACCUAGGUUUGAAACGCAAAAAAGGUAACAUAGAAAACAAGGCUCUCUAUCAGUCUGAAAUUAAGAGGUCAAAGAAAUAUGCCAAGCGUGGCAAGCAUAGAGGCAAGAAGGAUAAGACUAAAAUAAAGUGCUACAACUGUAUCUCAUUGGUUUACUUUGCUCGUGAAUGAAUCAGGGUGUGCCUCUUUUUCCACCACCGCUAUUACUGAACAGAUUCGUGCAUAAUGAUACAGAGUCUGGCGCCAGUUCAUACAAAAUUAAUAAAAUUAUUGUUCCAAUUUUGUACAAAACCACUAAUAACAAAUUCAUCCCCAAACAAUAAAAAUGAGAGUAAAGACAAAAAUUUUAUUCUAAACACACAAACUUUCUCCAUUUUUUUACAAAUUGCUAACUAAACUUUUUUUUUUGUAACACCACUAACCAAACUUUUAACCAGAUUUCUUUCGAUAAACUAGAUAAUCAAACCACUCAAUCUCUUUUGGUACAUACUCAAAUGAAGAUAAGACUCUAUCAAGUUCGACCAAACUCACUUGAUCGUCUCUAAAUUCAUAAGACUAUAAUACAUAUCUAAAUUUUCAAAUCAUACUUCCUUAAAGUUGACAAAUUAUGCAUUUUUUGUAAUUUAUUCUAAAUCACAAAUAAUGUUAAAUCUAACAUUAGAUGAAAUAAAUUGAUAACAAACAAAAUUAACAAAUAAUAAUUGAUUAUGUAGUUGUUGUGGAAAAAAAAUGCAAGUUUUCAAAACUUCAACGAUGAAGAAGAAAAAAGUCAAAGAGAUGAAUUUAAUAAAUUAAAAGCUUAAUUUGUUUAAUUGAUUAGGAUACCAAAUGAUAGUGUUGUCCUAAUUUAUAUUCUAUUGUUUAAUUAAUAUAUUAAAUUGCUAAUGUAAAUAAAACUCAUAUUUUUCUACUGUAUUAAAAUUAAAAAUUAACAAUUAAUCAAAUAGACUCUUUAAAAAAAAUUAGAAAAUAGACACGUAGGCUAAUGCUUAUUUUCUAUGCCCAUAGCUAGGCACGGCUCUGUUACUGACGCCACCUCCAUUUAUUCCAGUGAAUUAUAUAGUGCCCCUCCUCCUCCACCAACGCCUAUAAACGGUCCUUGGCUGCCACAUCCGCCAAUGAAGAAGGUAGGGGUUUUGUCAUCCCUAGUUAGUGGAGGUUAAAUCUUACUUUUAUUAUGUUUUAUCAAUCUUACUUUUAUUAUGAUCCUUUGUUUCCUAUCAAAACCCAUUCGAUAAAAUUGGAAAAAAAAGGUUUUGGGUUUUGUAUAUGAAAACCUUCACGUUUCAUCUUCUUACACUCUGUUUCAGCAGAGGUUUUAUCUCGUCCUAAUGCAGUCUUCAAAUAGCUCGUAGAAUUAUGCUUAGUUUUCAGAAGAGGACACAACCGUUAUCAAUAAAGAUUUCUGACAGAAUGACAUCCAAACAAAUCUUGAUUCCAAAUGCAUAUAUUCAACCGGUUAAAACUGUGACAUCCCAAACAUUUGUUUUAGCCCAAUUUUUUUUAUUCUUUUUAAAACCUAAACUCUAACCCAAUUUCUUUUUUAACACCUAAUUAAGCCCAAAUCCAUAUUCUAAUUUGUCUCGAAACCAAAAUCUCUAAACCAAACUCUAGUAAAACAAAAAAAAAUGGAGGAAAAGGGAGCAGCCGUAAAAGAGAGAAGAAGAGAAAAGAAGGAAAGAAAGAGGAGAAGAAAAAGAGAAAAGAAAAGGGAGAGAGAAGCUCACCGUUCACCACCACCUCCACCACCAAAAGCUUCACGUCUCUAGAGAAGGAUCCACUGCCACCAGAGCUUCUAAUCUACCACCGCCGCAGCUGUUGGUUGCACAGAGAGGAGGAGAGGCCUGGAGAAGAAGAAAGUUGAAGGAGAAGGCACAGAUCCGAGGUGGGGUUUUAUGAGAAAGAUUCCCGUUGAUACAGAGAGAUUUAAACCAUGAUCGAGGUAUCUCUGGAAAGAUCUCAAUGCAACAAAGCCAUAAUGAAAACGACAUCGAUAUCGGUGUUAAGGUCAGCCCACAACGAAGUUUUCUUCCUGCGCAAGAAUCAUCCGCGCUGCCAUCCUGCAACCCAGAAAUCUGUUUCGACGUAGCAAAGGACCGUAUAUGAUUCGUUUGAAGUCUGAUCGAGCUGAAAUUUUGUGGAGUGCUUCAUGGUGCAUAUGUCUCCAGUUUCAAUGGUGUGAUCGAGCAACGGUUGGUUGUCGAGUUAUGAGCGUGUUUCUGAGGCAGCUUUGAAGUGUUCUUAAGAUGGGUGUUUUCCAGCUGCAACCGUUUUUGACCGUCAUAUUCUCCAAGUGCUAUUCCAGGUUCUUUUAAAUUAAGGUGAUUUAAUAAUGUGUGUAUGCUUAGUGUAGGAAUUAAACAUGAUUGAUAAUUGGUAUUUGUUAAUGUUGAUUGAUAUUGGUUAUUGAUUGGCUAUUGAUGAUAAUUCAUAAUAAGAAGGUAUUGGAAUAUGAUAAUAAUAUUGUAAUUUAUUUGGUUGUUAACUGAAAUAGUAUUUAUUUGGUUACAAUAUUGUUUGACAGCCUAUAACGAGAAACUGAGAUUGUGAAGUUGUAGUGAUCGAUAAAUUGUUUGACGGUCUACAGCGAGAGACUGAAUAUUGCGAAGCUGUAGUGAUCGAGAAAGGGCUGACAAGCUAUUGUCAAACCCUGUUGAGGGCUGUGACACCGGGACUAAAUGUCGAGUCCUGUGAUUUGGCGGAAGCAUUAAUCGUCAAACCCAUUAAUGGACUGUGGCAUAGAUUGAGUACCAAGCGAUUGCGACCCUUAGAAAUGUGAAUUAGAUUCGUUAGGUUGAUUGUUUUAAAUGAUUAUAUGAUUGUAUUUAUUUAGAAUUAUUAGAAUCAUAUAUAUUAUAUAAUAAUAUGAGUUAUUCUAGGUUGAUUGUUGCUUGAGUUUGAUAUCUAUAUUAUGUAUAUACAUCAUUGCUAUUUCAAAUAAUAUGUCAAAGAAUCAUGUGUGUUCCAAGAGCACAUCUUCACUGAGUAUUUUUCCCGGAAUAUUCAUCCCUCUCUUCUUUUUCAGGUAAGAUUGAAGACUAGUACUUGUGGCAGUUGAUGCAGUGUUAUUUCCGGGGACCAUAGAUGUAUUUUAUUUAUUUAUUCUUAAUUAAGAUUUUAAUUAUAUUUAUUUUAGUUUUUUUUUCAAAUAUUUAACAUUCGGUUUAUUGUUAAGAUGUUUUGAGUUUCUGAUUUAUUUAUUUUUAAUAAAGGAUUUUAGACAACAAAUAAUUAUUUAAUGAGUUCGUUAUUCUUUUAAAAGUUAUUAGACCAUCCACAACCCUGAACCUCAUGAUGGGGUUCAUCAGCAUUUUUUAAUAAUUUUUGGAGGAGAGAGAAUGUGGAAGAACCUUAGGUGAACCUGGAGUGAAAAAUAGGUGUCCAACCCUGAUACUUAUUUUGGGGUUCAACAAAAUAAAAUAAUAAUUUUUUUUAACUAUUUUAAACAUUUGAAUAAAAUAAAAUGAAAAGAGUUCUUAAAUUGAGAAAACAAAAGUGAAAGUAAAACUAGUAAUCUUCUAGAUGUCCAAAUUUAUGCCAAAGGUAGAGGGUAUUUUUUUCUAAGCCGUAGCGUGCUCUAGAGUACAUUCUCGUGCUUUUUCAUCGAAACCCGCCUUGUCUUCUUUGUAUAGCUUCGCUUUGGCUUCAUCAAAGUCGUCCCCCUCACCUAUUUCAGGGUUUGUCAGCAUCUCAUGAAGAUUAAUGAACAUCUUAUGGAUGGUGUGAAUAGGCGAGAAGUAGUCCGUUGUCAGCAUCCUUAGGAAGAUAUGACCACGAUCUCCUACAUUGGGAUGAAAGAUUUUGGUUCUAAAGAAGACCUGCAGAAAAUAAAUAUUCAGCAAGCGAUUACUACAAAACCCUGAACCGUUUAAAGCGUCAUACCUUUGGUGGCUUGAACGGGUAUUCCGGAGGGAAGUCCAUGCUGAUUUUGAAGACUCCGUUCUCGUAAGGCGAUCCUGCUGGUCCGAACAGCUCACCCUCCCAAUAAAACAUCUUUCCAUCUACGGGGCCUGCUUUGUAGAGCGGGCUCUUAACCCUCUCAAUCUCUUUUUUCUGCUUCGUUAUGGCUCUUGCCCAGUACGGGACAUCCUCUGAACUUGGCAUACUCUGUCCACAAUAAACGAUUUGAUCAUUUGAGUUACAUAAAUAUCCGAACCAAAUGAGAAAAAAAAAACUUGAAAACAAACCUAAACUCAAGUAACUACUUAAACCUAAUCAUUCGAUAUAACCAGAACACGAUUACAAUACGAUGUCCCUAAAGAUUCGAUACUCCUAAACACACAAUGAACCAUUUCAACCUAAACAUUCGAUAUGACCUAAACAUUCAAUACUUGAAAACACACAAUGAACCAUUUCAACUCACACAAGCGAUUCACACAAGCGAUCAACAAAUCGAUUAACUCACACAAGCGAUUAACUCACACAAGCGAUUAACUCACACAAGCGAACCAAAAUUUAUAAAAGCCCCAAGCGAAUUAGACGCCAAUUGCAAUCCCAAAUGAAAGCCCCAAAAUUUAUAAACAUUUUCGAGAACCCUAAUUUCAAAACAUCAAAUUUUAAAACCCUAAUACGCGAAAUCCGGAAACCGAUUGAAUAUAAGAACAAUGAAUCGCAAACAACUCAUAAUCAACAUCAAAAGCCCCCAAAAAAACUUCCCGAAGAACCCUAAUUUUCCUCCAAUUUUGAAAACCCUAAUAUCGAUUCAACCAACCGACCAAAACUCAAUUAAAAGACUUCUAAAGGAUAUGAACGACGUACCAUACUGAUCGACCGGAGGGGAAGCAACGAUUCACCGGAGAUUCGAUCGGAGGGGAAAAUUGGAUUCGAAGUUGCGAUUUUCGCAAAAUCGCCGUGGAAGUUUUUUUUUUGUGAUAAAAAGAGAAUGCGAAAUAACCCCAAAUGUUCGACCCCGACCCUAAAAAUUUUUCUCCAAACUUCAGCCAAUCAGUGCUUGCCACGUAGGCCGGUGAACCUCGACGAUACGGGCUCGUCGGGCUUAUCCCAGAGAGACAGUAUCAUCGAGUUUUUGGGCCUAAUCGAUUAAAAAAAUUAAAAUAAUAGUAUUGGGCCCCACGAAUGAACUCCGCCCAUCCCGCGUUGUGAAUGGUCUUAGAUGAAUGUAAAUCAAGAUAGAUUUAGUUUGCAAGAUUGUCUCAAAAACCUCUCUGCUUUAAAAUCAAACACACCAGCAACUGCUCGCAAAUCAUUUCAUCAUCACCAAAAAAGGUAUGAGAUGGGCUUUUCUGAUUAUAAGUCAUGUCCACCUGAAAUAAAUUAAUUAGACAACUCAAUAGUUGUACGUCUUCUAAACUUGUCAGAAACCUCGAACAGUGUAGACAAUGUAGUUUCUUUUAAGUUUUCAGGUAUUGUUUCUUUGAUUUGGAAAUUUUUCUAAGGAUGUUGAGGAUUUCAUUUCUGAACAUUUAUCAGUUGUACUUAGUGUUAUGAAACUCCUUGGAAUCAAAAUUUGCGUUUUGGCACAAUGUUUCGUAGGUAAAUUUGAACACUGUUGUUCCGCAGAUUCUUCAAACAGAUUUGUAGUUUAGCAGACAAAUUUUAGGUUUAUGAUUCAAAAACCUGGGAUAUAUUUUCAUAGGAAUAGAAAAAAAAAACAGAAGAUAUCAAAUGGCUUCGUCCGGACACCUUAGACUGACGUGAUAACCACGAAACCAUCUUGACUAAGCUUUCUGUAUUUCUUAAACAUUUUGUCUUCAUUUAUUACUCACGAGUCACAACUCACAUCAGCUCAGUUUGGGCCUAAAUAAGGCCCAUUUAGAAUAUUGUGAGGCGGGAACGGAAUCCAUGUCGCGCUAUGAUGAUCUUUUUGGUAACGAUUAUGAUGUACCGUUGAUUUAAAAUAUUAUCAACGGGUAAGAUCAUCCUACAUAUCGAUCCUCGUCGAUGUCUAAUAACCAAUCAUAUCGAUUACUCGAUCUAUUAUAAAAUCAAAAUCUCGCCUUCAUCGAAUUACUCAGAUUUGUGCUUUCUUCUUUACCCAGAACCAAAAAAAAAAAAGGUCAAAGAGAGAGAUACAUAACAAUGGCGCCGAGAGCAGAGAAGAAGCCAGCGGAGAAGAAACCAGCCUCUGAUAAACCCGUAGAGGAGAAAUCAAAGGCCGAGAAAGCUCCGGCGGAGAAGAAACCAAAGGCCGGGAAGAAGCUGCCGAAGGAAGCCGGCGGCGCAGGCGGCAAUAAGAAGAAGAAGAUGAAGAAGAAGAGCGUCGAGACGUACAAGAUCUACAUCUUCAAGGUCCUGAAACAGGUUCAUCCAGAUAUCGGAAUCUCGAGCAAAG